RNAcentral lists this small nuclear RNA (320 nucleotides) under Charadrius vociferus (killdeer). RNAcentral's name for it is "7SK RNA". It matches the Rfam family "7SK RNA". From Rfam's summary of the family: 7SK was discovered as an abundant small nuclear RNA in the mid-70s but a possible function has only recently been suggested. Lineage: Eukaryota; Metazoa; Chordata; Aves; Charadriiformes; Charadriidae. The record is from Rfam by way of RNAcentral.
AGAUGCGAGGGCAAUCUGGCUGCAACAUCUGUCGCCCCACGGAUCGCCAGGGUUGAUUUGGCUGAUCUGGCUGGCGAGGGGGGUGUCCCCUUCCUCCCUAUCCACUGCAUGUGCAUCGCUCCCGAAGCUGCACGAUCAGUCGAUGAGGACGACCUUCCCCGGUAGAGACGCAACAUUCAUCAGUCAGGCUUAUAGGGUAGCUGCACUCCCCUCCUAGAACCUCCAAACAACUGAUAUUUAAAAACAGUUUUCAAUUUCAGACAAAAGUCCUCUCUCUCAAAAAACAAGUUAAAAUCUGACUUGGUGCACUGUAAGACUUC